GUAGGUGAACCUGCGGAAGGAUCAUUCAUAAUUGAAUUUUCAGUCUGAAUUCAUUCUGCUGAUAUUCAUGUUGUUUAAUCAACAAAAACGGUGCAUUUGUUAUAGUUGAGGAAAGGUUUGAAAUGAAAUUAACUUUUUGUUUCUGGAAAAUAAUGUUCUUGCCGAAGAUAUUAUCCUUGUCCUUGAUUGUUGAGUUGGGUUUGAAAUAUAUUGUAGGAGGGAAAAGUUUUUAACUGAACCAAAUUGAUGU
RNAcentral lists this unclassified non-coding RNA (250 nucleotides) under plant metagenome. RNAcentral's name for it is "partial contains small subunit ribosomal RNA, internal transcribed spacer 1, and 5.8S ribosomal RNA". The record is from RNAcentral.